Molecule: ribosomal RNA, 671 nt
Filed under: uncultured bacterium
Lineage: Bacteria
Description: bacterial SSU rRNA
Rfam family: Bacterial small subunit ribosomal RNA
Source: RNAcentral
GGAAACAGGUGCUAAUACCGUAUAACACUAUUUUCCGCAUGGAAGAAAGUUGAAAGGCGCUUUUGCGUCACUGAUGGAUGGACCCGCGGUGCAUUAGCUAGUUGGUGAGGUAACGGCUCACCAAGGCCACGAUGCAUAGCCGACCUGAGAGGGUGAUCGGCCACACUGGGACUGAGACACGGCCCAGACUCCUACGGGAGGCAGCAGUAGGGAAUCUUCGGCAAUGGACGAAAGUCUGACCGAGCAACGCCGCGUGAGUGAAGAAGGUUUUCGGAUCGUAAAACUCUGUUGUUAGAGAAGAACAAGGAUGAGAGUAGAACGUUCAUCCCUUGACGGUAUCUAACCAGAAAGCCACGGCUAACUACGUGCCAGCAGCCGCGGUAAUACGUAGGUGGCAAGCGUUGUCCGGAUUUAUUGGGCGUAAAGCGAGCGCAGGCGGUUUCUUAAGUCUGAUGUGAAAGCCCCCGGCUCAACCGGGGAGGGUCAUUGGAAACUGGGAGACUUGAGUGCAGAAGAGGAGAGUGGAAUUCCAUGUGUAGCGGUGAAAUGCGUAGAUAUGUGGAGGAACACCAGUGGCGAAGGCGGCUCUCUGGUCUGUAACUGACGCUGAGGCUCGAAAGCGUGGGGAGCGAACAGGAUUAGAUACCCUGGUAGUCCACGCCGUAAACGAU